CGCACAUUGCGCCCAUUAGUAUUCUAGUGGGCAUGCCUGUUCGAGCGUCAUUUCAACCCUUAAGCCCUAGUUGCUUAGCGUUGGGAAUCUACGCCUUGUAGUUCCUUAAAGACAGUGGCGGAGCCGGGUCGGACUCUGAGCGUAGUAGCAUACAUCUCGCUUUUGCAGCCCCCCCGGCCCCUGCCGUGAAAUAUACUUAUAACAAGUGGUUGACCUCGGAUCAGGUAGGAAUACCCGCUGAACUUAA
RNAcentral lists this unclassified non-coding RNA (247 nucleotides) under fungal sp. RNAcentral's name for it is "partial contains 5.8S ribosomal RNA, internal transcribed spacer 2, and large subunit ribosomal RNA". Lineage: Eukaryota; Fungi. The record is from RNAcentral.